CCAAAUGAACUCGGCAAAUUAGUACCGUAACUUCGGGAUAAGGUACGCCCCUAGUAGGAGAACGUGUACAACGGGAGCCAAAUGGGGUUGCAAGAAAUCGGUGGCUGCGACUGUUUAACAAAAACACAGCACUCUGCAAACACGUCAAGUGGACGUAUAGGGUGUGACGCCUGCCCGGUGCCGGAAGGUUAAAUGAUGGGGUGCAAGCUCUUGAUUGAAGCCCCGGUAAACGGCGGCCGUAACAAUAACGGUCCUAAGGUAGCGAAAUUCCUUGUCGGGUAAGUUCCGACCUGCACGAAUGGCGUAACGAUGGCCACACUGUCUCCUCCUGAGACUCAGCGAAAUUGAAGUGUUUGUGAUGAUGCAAUCUCCCCGCCGCAAGACGGAAAGACCCCGUGCACCUUUACUGCACCUUUGCAUUGGACUUCGAUGAGAUCUGUGUAGGAUAGCUGGGAGGCUUUGAAGUGGGGACGCUAGUUCUCAUGGAGCCAACCUUGAAAUACCAGCCUGAUGUUAUUGAGGUUCUAACCUUGACCCAUGAAUCUGGGUCGGGGACCGUGCAUGGCAGGCAGUCUGACUGGGCCGGUCUCCUCCCAAAGAGUAACGGAGGAGUGCGACGGUACGCUUAUCGCGGUCGGCUAUCGCGAUGAAAGUGCAAUGGCAUAAGCGUGCUUAACUGCGAGACUGACAAGUCGAGCAGGUGCGAAAGCAGGUCAUAGUGAUCCGGUGGUUCUGUAUGGAAGGGCCAUCGCUCAACGGAUAAAAGGUACGCCGGGGAUAACAGGCUGAUUCCUCCCAAGAGUUCAUAUCGACGGGGGAGUUUGGCACCUCGAUGUCGGCUCAUCACAUCCUGGGGCUGUAGCCGGUCCCAAGGGUAUGGCUGUUCGCCAUUUAAAGUGGUACGUGAGCUGGGUUCAAAACGUCGUGAGACAGUUUGGUCCCUAUCUGCGGUGGGCGUUGGAAGUUUGAGGGGGGCUGCUCCUAGUACGAGAGGACCGGAGUGGACGAACCUCUGGUGUACCGGUUGUCACGCCAGUGGCAUCGCCGGGUAGCUAAGUUCGGAAGAGAUAACCGCUGAAAGCAUCUAAGCGGGAAACUUGCCUCAAGAUGAGACUUCCCGAGGACUUGAUCCUCCUAAAGGGUCGUGGAAGACCACCACGUUAAUAGGCUGGGUGUGUACGACGAGCAAUCGUCUUAGCUAACCAGUACUAAUUGCCCGUGAGGCUUGAUCCG
Molecule: ribosomal RNA, 1233 nt
Filed under: metagenome
Description: bacterial LSU rRNA
Rfam family: Bacterial large subunit ribosomal RNA
Source: RNAcentral